UACGAAGGGGGCUAGCGUUGUUCGGAAUCACUGGGCGUAAAGGGCGCGUAGGCGGCCUGAUAAGUCGGGGGUGAAAGCCUGUGGCUCAACCACAGAAUUGCCUUCGAUACUGUUAGGCUUGAGACCGGAAGAGGUAAGUGGAACUGCGAGUGUAGAGGUGAAAAUUCGUAGAUAUUCGCAAGAACACCAGUGGCGAAGGCGGCUUACUGGUCCGGUUCUGACGCUGAGGCGCGAAAGCGUGGGGAGCAAACAGG
RNAcentral lists this ribosomal RNA (254 nucleotides) under uncultured bacterium. RNAcentral describes it as "partial 16S ribosomal RNA". It matches the Rfam family "Bacterial small subunit ribosomal RNA", at positions 524 to 776 of the family's 1533-position model. The record is from RNAcentral.